Molecule: ribosomal RNA, 484 nt
Filed under: uncultured bacterium
Lineage: Bacteria
Description: partial 16S ribosomal RNA
Rfam family: Bacterial small subunit ribosomal RNA
Source: RNAcentral
AUUGAACGCUGGCGGCAGGCCUAACACAUGCAAGUCGAGCGGAUGAAGGGAGCUUGCUCCUGGAUUCAGCGGCGGACGGGGGAGUAAUGCCUAGGAAUCUGCCUGGUAGUGGGGGAUAACGUCCGGAAACGGGCGCUAAUACCGCAUACGUCCUGAGGGAGAAAGUGGGGGAUCUUCGGACCUCACGCUAUCAGAUGAGCCUAGGUCGGAUUAGCUAGUUGGUGGGGUAAAGGCCUACCAAGGCGACGAUCCGUAACUGGUCUGAGAGGAUGAUCAGUCACACUGGAACUGAGGCACGGUCCCGACUCCUACGGGAGGCAGCAGUGGGGAAUAUUGGACAAUGGGCGAAAGCCUGAUCCAGCCAUGCCGCGUGUGUGAAGAAGGUCUUCGGAUUGUAAAGCACUUUAAGUUGGGAGGAAGGGCAGUAAGUUAAUACCUUGCUGUUUUGACGUUACCAACAGAAUAAGCACCGGCUAACUUCGUG